This 72-nucleotide transfer RNA is filed under the name Camelus bactrianus (Bactrian camel). It matches the Rfam family "tRNA". Rfam says of the family: Transfer RNA (tRNA) molecules are approximately 80 nucleotides in length. Lineage: Eukaryota; Metazoa; Chordata; Mammalia; Artiodactyla; Camelidae. The record is from Rfam by way of RNAcentral. RNAcentral also lists the same sequence under 2 other names.
GGGGGAAUAGCUCAGUGGCAGAGUGCGUGCUUAGCAUGCAUGGGGUCCUGGGUUCAAUCCCCGGUAACUCCA